CCUUAGGCAAAUCCGGGAUCACUUACGCCGAGCACCGAGACGAGUCCUAUGAGGACGAAGUGACUGACACCACGCUUCCAGGAAAAGCCACUAAGCUUCAGCUUAAGAAAAACCGUACCGCAAACCGACACAGGUAGGCAGGGUGAGAAUCCCAAGGCGCUUGAGAGAACUCGGGUGAAGGAACUAGGCAAAAUGGCACCGUAACUUCGGGAGAAGGUGCGCCCUUUGGUGUGGUCACGUGCGUGACUGAGCAUCGAAGGGUCGCAGUAACCUGGCCGCUGCGACUGUUUAUCAAAAACACAGCACUCUGCAAACACGAAAGUGGACGUAUAGGGUGUGACGCCUGCCCGGUGCUGGAAGGUUAAUUGAUGGGGUCAGCCGCAAGGCGAAGCUCUUGAUCGAAGCCCCAGUAAACGGCGGCCGUAACUAUAACGGUCCUAAGGUAGCGAAAUUCCUUGUCGGGUAAGUUCCGACCUGCACGAAUGGCGUAACGACAGCGGCGCUGUCUCCACCCGAGACUCAGUGAAAUUGAAAUCGCUGUGAAGAUGCAGCGUUCCCGCGGCAAGACGGAAAGACCCCGUGAACCUUUACUAUAGCUUUACACUGAACGUUGAGUUCUUCUGUGUAGGAUAGGUGGGAGGCUAUGAAACCUGGACGCUAGUUCUGGUGGAGCCAUCCUUGAAAUACCACCCUGAAGUGCUUGACGUUCUAACCUAGGCCCGUAAUCCGGGUCAGGGACCGUGUAUGGUGGGUAGUUUGACUGGGGCGGUCUCCUCCCAAAGAGUAACGGAGGAGCACGAAGGUACGCUCAGCGCGGUCGGACAUCGCGCACUGUGUGCAAAGGCAUAAGCGUGCUUGACUGCGAGAUCGACGGAUCAAGCAGGUACGAAAGUAGGUCUUAGUGAUCCGGUGGUUCUGUAUGGAAGGGCCAUCGCUCAACGGAUAAAAGGUACUCCGGGGAUAACAGGCUGAUACCGCCCAAGAGUUCAUAUCGACGGCGGUGUUUGGCACCUCGAUGUCGGCUCAUCACAUCCUGGGGCUGUAGCCGGUCCCAAGGGUAUGGCUGUUCGCCAUUUAAAGUGGUACGCGAGCUGGGUUCAGAACGUCGUGAGACAGUUCGGUCCCUAUCUGUCGUGGGCGUUGGAGAUUUGAGGGGGGCUGCUCCUAGUACGAGAGGACCGGAGUGGACGUUCCGCUGGUGUUCGGGUUGUCAUGCCCAUGGCAUUGCCCGGUAGCUACGAACGGAAGUGAUAACCGCUGAAAGCAUCUAAGCGGGAAGCACGCCCCAAGAUGAGAUCUCCCGAGAGCUUGACUCUCCUAAAGGCACCAUCAAGACUAGGUGGUUGAUAGGUCAGGUGUGGAAGCGCAGCAAUGCGUUGAGCUAACUGAUACUAAUGAGCCGUGAGGCUUGACC
Molecule: ribosomal RNA, 1414 nt
Filed under: metagenome
Description: bacterial LSU rRNA
Rfam family: Bacterial large subunit ribosomal RNA
Source: RNAcentral